This 322-nucleotide ribosomal RNA is filed under the name Salmonella enterica subsp. enterica serovar Newport. Its description in RNAcentral is "partial 16S ribosomal RNA". It matches the Rfam family "Bacterial small subunit ribosomal RNA", at positions 1 to 319 of the family's 1533-position model. Lineage: Bacteria; Pseudomonadati; Pseudomonadota; Gammaproteobacteria; Enterobacterales; Enterobacteriaceae. RNAcentral also lists the same sequence under 1 other name. The record is from RNAcentral.
AAAUUGAAGAGUUUGAUCAUGGCUCAGAUUGAACGCUGGCGGCAGGCCUAACACAUGCAAGUCGAACGGUAACAGGAAGCAGCUUGCUGCUUUGCUGACGAGUGGCGGACGGGUGAGUAAUGUCUGGGAAACUGCCUGAUGGAGGGGGAUAACUACUGGAAACGGUGGCUAAUACCGCAUAACGUCGCAAGACCAAAGAGGGGGACCUUCGGGCCUCUUGCCAUCAGAUGUGCCCAGAUGGGAUUAGCUAGUUGGUGAGGUAACGGCUCACCAAGGCGACGAUCCCUAGCUGGUCUGAGAGGAUGACCAGCCACACUGGAAC